Molecule: long non-coding RNA, 1052 nt
Filed under: Brassica napus (rape)
Lineage: Eukaryota; Viridiplantae; Streptophyta; Magnoliopsida; Brassicales; Brassicaceae
Description: long non-coding RNA (BNAP_LNC020848)
Source: RNAcentral
AUGUAGCUUCUUCAGAUGAGGUUUUUGGUUUUUUGAUUUUUGAUUUUGGGUGGAUUUAGGUAUAGACAUGGAGAUUUAUACAGAAGAAUGAUUAAGAGGAGGAGGAACGACACAUUCAAGAAGACUUUUAAGAUUAUCUUUGAUUGUUUAAAGGGUAACGAAUGAACUCAGGGAUCGGAGAAGAGAAGAGGAAAUGGAAGAAUGGAAAAAGAGAAUUGUAAAACUUAAACACCUUUGGGCCGAAUAUAAUUUUACGUAGCCCACACAAAAUGUCCAUUCUAUCUCAGCGCUUGUGACGUGGCAACAAAAUGUUUUUCUAUUGGACGAUUUUCCUGUCCGACGUGGACACUCUAAAAAGCCUCCCUCAAGCCCUUUUAAUAUAGUAUAGAUACUAAUUAAAAGUUUAAAACCCAUAUUCUUUAUAACCCGCACAGCCAGACAAACUAAUAACAACAAUAAAAAGAUACAAACAUCAAUGAUUCAGUUCCAUCUUAUAUCACUUCAAAAUACAAGCUAGAGUCGAAGAGUUUUGAUGGCAUUUAUACAUUUUUAAAAAAUGAAAAUUACAGUAUUGCAUUUAACAUUUCAUAAGAAAAUUAACAAUAAUAAUUAUUCUAAUCUAUUAAAAGAGAAAUACAAAUUAAGACUAACUCUUAAACUUGCACAAUAUAUACAGCUUAGUGCCACUGAAAUAAUUAAUCUAAUUUAUUAAAAGAGAAGUACAAAUUAAGAUUAACCCUUAAACUUGCACAAUAUUUACAGUUUAAUCCCACUGAAAUAAUUAAAUGAAUAUAUUUUUGAGUAAUCUUUGUCUUUUCCAAAAUCAAAAUUAAUAAAGUAAUAACUACUCCUAAUUUUAUAAUUAUAUGCUUUCCAUGUCUUUUUUAAAAUUAAUAAAACAUUUCCUAAAUUAAAUUCACAAUCAAUUCAAUAUAAAUAUUUUAACUUAUCUAUGUCAUAUUAAUAUUAUAAACAUUAAUGAAUAUCAAUAAUAUAUACAAAAUAUUAUUUUAUGUAACAAUAUAAGUUGCAUUUUGUCUCAUUUUCCCACA